ACAGCUGAUAAAUUUCCCAAAACAAUCAUAGCAGACAGAUACGAAACUGGAAUUUAAGUGCAAGGCGCGAGUUUACAUUUCAACUAAGUUCCUUCAAAUAAAUGGUUUACAAAGAAAUUUACCGGAUUAUCCUGAUUUAAGCGCAAACAAAGUGUGUGAAAUCAAAGGAUGGGCCAGUAAUUUAAUGCAAGCAAUAAGAAAAUUAUGUUGCAUGAGAACGAAUGAGAGUGGGAGUGGGCAAGAGAGAAAGAGAGCGCACUCAGCAUAUGUAGCACAGCACACUCGCACAAAACGGGUCGAUAAACGAAAGCAUAAAGUAAACAAAAAAAGCAGGAGAAUAAAACAGGCAAGAAAGAGCAAGCGAAAGAGCCAGCCCGAAAAGGAAGAAAAUAAAGGCGAACUCCCUCCUCUCUCCUCUCCCUUACUCUUUCAUUCCACAUUCCUUCCCCCCUCCCUCUCUAUAUCUUUCUUUACGAUUGUCUGUCCGCGUGCAACAUAACAGCAGCAGCAACAACAACAACAACGUUUCAGGUAGCCCAAGUCGCGUGUGUGUUUGUGUGGUUUCGUAUAAACACACGUACAUAACAUAGGAAGAAAGGGAGAGGGAAGAAACGAAACGAAACGGGAUGAACGGACUAAACGGAUUGCACGUAUACAAAAAUAUCCGAUGGUUACAGAAAAAGGGUAUUUUGGUAUUCGAGUUGCAGCGGCUUUCACCUAUCAGUGCCUACUGAAAUUUCAAACCUACAACACAACACAUGGAUUCUGAAUAUAAAAGAGAAUAAAACACAUGAAAUGGAAACACUUUAUGUUUUAUGUUUGUCUACCGCGGGAGAUCCCACAGAUUACGACGACCACGCUGCUGUUUUUGUGAUAAGCCUAUUAUGGCGGAUUGAUGUUAACUGCCACCAUUUUUUCUGUAUUUAUAUUAUUUUUGAAAUGAGGUAAAGGAACCCGGCAAAUUUUGAUUUUUUAAAUGCGACGCCUCAAAUUAUACGUCUAAUUUCGUAGAGUCUUAUUGAGCAUUUAAAUAAAAAAUGCAUUCUAAAUAAAUGUAAAUCGGUCUUUUUUUUAACAUUUUGACUUGAUGUUCAUCAUAAGUUCGGGUUUAAGAAAAAAGUUAAAUGGUAUUAAAUUUAGUCGUCACUAAAAGCUGUGAAACAUACAUUCUGUUUAAAUUCAAGAAAUGUAGCAUUAACCUAAAUUUGUGUAUUCCAUAUUCUGUGUGAAUAAAUAAUUUUCUUAAAAUGUAUUAUGUUUUAUAGAUUUACGAUAUUGAAUAAAGAACCAAACUUUUCUGAGGAAUGUUUUCUAACUGAACAUGAAAUAUACGCAAGUUGUAUGUAGUUUAUACUGAUUGACAAGCACAAUAUUUAUUGCUGUUUAUAAUUUACUUCAGUUUUAAAAGGGCUGUAUAUUUUGGUACUAUAUUUGCGCAAUGUUUGAUUAGGACUUGUUUGGUUUUUAAUUUUUUAAAAUACUACUGCAUUAUUGGAUAUAAAUAAAUAUUUAGAGCAGCCUAUUUGCCAUAAAAUUCAUCGAACUGAUAAAAGUCCGAUAUGAAUUGGUCAAAUUUAAUUCGAAUGGCUUGCAAAUUAUGUUUAACAGUUUUGCACAACAGUCUUAAAAGUUUCCAUUGCUUUGAGACUGUUAAUUAAAUUCGUUUUCCACUUGGAAUAUUUUAAUAAUACACUUAUUGUUUGCCGACGGCCCUUUCACUUUACGACUCCAGGAUCUAAACUGCUUCCUUUGGCCUGUUGAAAUUGAGUUUGUAGGGCCACUAGCCCGUGUUAAAGUUAUCCGAUAUUUAUGCAGUAGUCCUUUGGUAGAUGGCGCCUUUCAAUUGCAGCAGUUGAUUAUGCAUUCAACGCAAAGUUGAUGCUUAAAUUAUGCACUCUAUUUAAUUUUCCAGCCAUAAGCAAAGCUUUAUGGCCCCUAUUCACACACACACUGGGGUCAUAUUAAAUUCAUAGAACGCCGCACGGCAAAAGCGGCAACAAUUUAAAUUUUAUUAGAAAAUCCCAUUAGAUACACACGCACACACCGAAAGCAACUUCCACUUCCGCCAGAAGUUGGCUUUGUCGUGUGUGCGUGUGUGUGAGCGGGUGUGGGGGGUGUGUAUUCAACGCCACCCACACUCACGCAAGGCAUGAAUGAAGAAGGCCAUGGUUAGGAAAAGGGGAGGGGAGGGGCGCAAAAAUCAUUGCAUAUUUGCUUGGGCAAACAACAACAAAUGCCCACAAUUACACACACACACAGUCGCGAACAGUGACAGCCAGCAGUUAUUUAACACGUGAUGUAAACGGAAUGUAAAGCAUGCUGUAAUAGUCGAGCGAAACUAAAAAUGCAGGCAGAGAAACAUGCGCAGCAGCAGAGAGGGAGCAAUGCACGAUUUCUUUUAUUUUGCUGGCGUAUUCGUAUUCUUUGGCUUAACGACUCCAGCCUUUCGUCGGUAU
Long non-coding RNA from Drosophila rhopaloa, 2456 nucleotides. RefSeq lists it as uncharacterized. The transcript has 3 exons. NCBI's taxonomy places the organism in Eukaryota, Metazoa, Arthropoda, Insecta, Diptera, Drosophilidae. The record is from RefSeq and is a predicted model, not a curated record.